CGGUUGAUCCUGCCGGAGGUUACUACUAUCGGAGUUCGAUUAAGCCAUGCGAGUCUAAAGGUUUCUUCGGAAGCCUUGGCGGACUGCUCAGUAACACGUGGAUAACCUACCCUUGGGACUGGAAUAACCCCGGGAAACUGGGGAUAAUACCGGAUAGAUCAGGGAUGCUGGAAUGCACCUUGAUCCAAAGCUCCGGCGCCCAAGGAUGGGUCUGCGGCCUAUCAGGUUGUAGUGGGUGUAACGUACCUACUAGCCGACGACGGGUACGGGUUGUGAGAGCAAGAGCCCGGAGAUGGAUUCUGAGACACGAAUCCAGGCCCUACGGGGUGCAGCAGGCGCGAAACCUUUACAAUGUGCGAAAGCAUGAUAAGGGAACUCCGAGUGCCAGUAUCUAAUACUGGCUGUCCUUGUGCCUAAACCGCACAAGAUAGCAAGGGCCGGGUAAGACCGGUGCCAGCCGCCGCGGUAACACCGGCGGCCCGAGUGGUAGCCGCUAUUAUUGGGUCUAAAGGGUCCGUAGCCGGUUCGAUAAGUCCUCUGGGAAAUCUGGUUGCUUAACAAUCAGACUGCCAAGGGAUACUGUUGAACUUGAGACCGGGAGAGGUAAGAGGUACUUCAGGGGUAGGAGUGAAAUCUUGUAAUCCCUGGGGGACCAUCUGUGGCGAAGGCGUCUUACCAGAACGGGUCUGACGGUGAGGGACGAAAGCUGGGGGCGCAAACCGGAUUAGGUACCCGGGUAGUCCCAGCCGUAAACGAUGCUCGCUAUGUGUCNNNACGGUGUGACCGUAUCUGGUGCCGUAGGGAAGCCGUGAAGCGAGCCACCUGGGAAGUACGGUCGCAAGACUGAAACUUAAAGGAAUUGGCGGGGAGCAC
Molecule: ribosomal RNA, 873 nt
Filed under: uncultured archaeon
Lineage: Archaea
Description: bacterial SSU rRNA
Rfam family: Archaeal small subunit ribosomal RNA
Source: RNAcentral